Molecule: unclassified non-coding RNA, 191 nt
Filed under: uncultured fungus
Lineage: Eukaryota; Fungi
Description: sequence contains ITS1
Source: RNAcentral
UUAACUAUUAUAUAGUACUCAGACGACAAUAACAAAGAGUUGGGUCCUCUGGCAGGCACUCACCAGCAAGAGCCGGUAGGCUGAAGUCAGCCGGCCUGCCAAAGCAACAAAGGUAAGUUCACAUGGGUGGGAGAUCUACCCGUAAGGGCAUGAACUCUGUAAUGAUCCCUCCGCAGGUUCACCUACGGAGA